Molecule: ribosomal RNA, 190 nt
Filed under: uncultured Shewanella sp.
Lineage: Bacteria; Pseudomonadati; Pseudomonadota; Gammaproteobacteria; Alteromonadales; Shewanellaceae
Description: partial 16S ribosomal RNA
Rfam family: Bacterial small subunit ribosomal RNA
Source: RNAcentral
CCUACGGGAGGCAGCAGUGGGGAAUAUUGCACAAUGGGCGAAAGCCUGAUGCAGCCAUGCCGCGUUAAGAAGGCCUUCGGGUUGUAAAGUACUUUCAGCGAGGAGGAAAGGUUGUUGGUUAAUAACCAACAGCUGUGACGUUACUCGCAGAAGAAGCACCGGCUAACUUCGUGCCAGCAGCCGCGGUAAU